GUUCCUACGGGAGGCAGCAGUCGGGAAUUUUGGGCAAUGGGCGAAAGCCUGACCCAGCAACGCCGCGUGAAGGAUGAAGUAUUUCGGUAUGUAAACUUCGUAAGAAUAGGAAGAAUAAAUGACGGUACUAUUUGUAAGGUCCGGCUAACUACGUGCCAGCAGCCGCGGUAAUACGUAGGGACCAAGCGUUGUUCGGAUUUACUGGGCGUAAAGGGCGCGUAGGCGGCGUGGUAAGUCAGCUGUGAAAUCUCCGAGCUUAACUCGGAACGGUCAGCUGAUACUGCUGUGCUAGAGUACAGAAAGGGCAAUCGGAAUUCUUGGUGUAGCGGUGAAAUGCGUAGAUAUCAAGAGGAACACCUGAGGCGAAGGCGGGUUGCUAGGCUGAUACUGACGCUGAAGCGCGAAAGCUAGGGUAGCAAACGGGAUUAGAUACCCGAGUAGUC
Molecule: ribosomal RNA, 443 nt
Filed under: uncultured bacterium
Lineage: Bacteria
Description: bacterial SSU rRNA
Rfam family: Bacterial small subunit ribosomal RNA
Source: RNAcentral